GGACGCCUAGCUCAACGGUAGAGCAACGGACUUUUAAUCCGCAGGUUCUGGGUUCGAAUCCCAGGGCGUCCACCA
RNAcentral lists this transfer RNA (75 nucleotides) under Pseudomonadota bacterium. Its description in RNAcentral is "tRNA-Lys". It matches the Rfam family "tRNA". From Rfam's summary of the family: Transfer RNA (tRNA) molecules are approximately 80 nucleotides in length. Their secondary structure includes four short double-helical elements and three loops (D, anti-codon, and T loops). RNAcentral also lists the same sequence under 3 other names. Lineage: Bacteria; Pseudomonadati; Pseudomonadota. The record is from RNAcentral.